This 4669-nucleotide long non-coding RNA is filed under the name Volvox carteri. Its description in RNAcentral is "long non-coding RNA (VCAR_LNC000509)". The stretch from base 3487 to 3558 matches the Rfam family "tRNA". The record is from RNAcentral. Lineage: Eukaryota; Viridiplantae; Chlorophyta; Chlorophyceae; Chlamydomonadales; Volvocaceae.
UUAAAACCUCGACUCGAUUGUAUUGCGCGGUUAGCAGGUACGGGGAAUGCACCCCACGAUCAUGUAACACGCACAGAUGCAACACACACACUAUACAUAUAGAAUACUCUUGCUGAACAUUCAGCCGCCACGUGUCAGGACGGGAACAAGAAGAGAAGCAAAGUAGAUGAUCUUGUCUUGCACAGAAAAAUAGAUGUGUAUAUGAUCUAUUUAUUGUAUCAUAUGUGUAUAUAUAUGUGAUAUGAUAAACAAUUAAAACACACACAUAUAUAUGUAUAUUAUUUAUAUUGGUAUGGGUGUGCACUCGGUGCUUCAUCAUAUCACUCGAUGGUGUAUGGGUGAUGGGCGACAUGCCAGUCCUCUUUCAAAGGACUCAUCGAAGUGGAGCAUUUAUAUUUUAUCCUCGGGUCCCGAUGAUCAUACCACAUCCAUCUGCAUCAUGACAUCAUGCGUCACGUGACUACUGGCUGACACAGCAUGCAGGGAUAUGUUCACUUCAGUUCAUUAGGUAAAGCGCAAUCCUACCUGGGUAUCCACUUCGAUGUUCCCUUCUGAGUGCACGAAUUAUCUUCAUAUCAUAGUGUCAUAGUGUGGAUGUGUUACUCACUUCACAAAUCUGAUGGACAUACAUACCCACGCACGAAGUAGUGUUCAUUCUGGCGGCCAGUUGAAAUUUCGCAACGCCAUACAAAAACAUACAUACACAUACAUUAACACCCGAGCGGAUGCAGGCGAUUGAGAACUGAAUACUGUAGCAACUGCCGUACAGUAUAACACAUGUACAUCAGCAAAGUGCAUGCAUGCACUUUUUUCACAAGCUCCUGUCCGAAACCAUGCCACUGUUGGAUGCAGGAGUCGUCUGUUCGACUCCUGCAAAGUACAACACGGGUGCAGGGUAAAUGGAGAUCAGGAUGUAACUUCCCUCAGCAUCAACCAUGGAUCAUCACAUCGUAAUAGAGUAUAUGCAUGUAGCUGUCGCUGACUGGCAACCCUAAGUUAACAGAGUCUGAUGAAUUCGAACCUGAUGAUGAUAUGGGUGCUGAACCAUAAAUCAUCAGGUGGUGUGGAUGCUAGACCUUGAAAAGUCACUGGUGUGGAUGCUAGACCUUGGAAAGUCACUGGAAGUCAGCAAGAACGUUGGCAUGGCUGACAAGGAUGAGGAUGCCUCAAAACAUUGGCGAAGGUACAGGGACUGCCAGGCGAGUAGUCAAAGAUGACGCUUUGACUUCCCUCUUCAGCUGUUUGAUACGAUUAUAAAUGUACAUUCCCCUAGGCCUGGCGAGCUCAUACUGUUGCAUGGAUGGGUUGGGGAAUAUCAGAGAAUGCGUUUUAGCAGCAUGCAGUUGCUCACAGCCGAGUUUUACUACUGCUUCUGCUACAUUGUGCCCGUUGCAAAUAUGCAACACAGUUUGGUCCGACACAUCGGCAGAGCAGAAGAGUCAAGCCAAACUUAGUUACCUACUUUUCUUUCCGUUCAAUGGACCGCACACUUGCACAAUCUGCGAAUUGCUAGGAACGAACUAGCGACCUCUAGAUCUUCAGUCUAGCGCUCUCCCAACUGAGCUAAAUCCGCACGGUCUUCGAUCGAGCAGCUCAUACAUGUACUGUAAGAUAUGAGACCAUCACAUUGCGUGAUGUGAGAGGUAACGGGCCCUGAUUUGUAGCAUCGCAUCAGCUCCUGCAAGCCGCUUGCUUGCUUGGCUACUAUAUGUACACAUGUCAACUACCCUUCCUUGGCGACGAUGCAAGAUAGAGCAGCGUGCGACUGACUUACCGGAGGAUGGAGAUAUUAUUGAUCCUGGGGGAGAGGGGGGACGAAUGCCUGGAUUUCCAGAAACAGGGAUGGAAGGUGUGGGCCUGCCUGUAGCAGUUUCGUGCAUGGCAAGGCGAGAUGAUAGCAUUAGCUGGAAGGCAAACAGCAGGUGACAAGGUAUGAUCCAGUUAGGCUGGAUGGAUUGGUGCUGCUGGAAGGAUUGGCUCUGCUCCAGACAUGCACAGCAAAUGUGCUAAGGCUGCAGCAUCGUGUCCCUGCUGGAAGGUUCAAGGAUGGAUCCUGACAAAGAGCAGGAGAAUAUAAUUCCUAUACCAAUUAAUUCCAGCGCUGAUGCACCCCCAAAUGAUGAUGCACAGUGAUGGAUUCGAAUACAGUGACCAAUGUUCCAUUAUGAUAGAGUAUGCAUGUAUACAUAUACUGCGUAGCUGCUGCUGACCGAGAAAUCUCUAUGCCUGGACAACCUGAAAAGAAGGCUGGACACAUGUGAAGAGGCACUGCUGAUAUGACAUGGACUGGCAACUCUACUGCCCAAAGGGUAGGACUAGGUAGGGACAAUUGCAAGCUGGUGUGGUGGGGACACACCGGUGAGGGCCUAAGACAGACACCUUCAGAGCGAGGGCAAGGAGUGUAAAAGCUGUUGUACAGUACAGCACCCACACCAUACAUACAUACAUAUACAUGCUGGAGUGCAUGUCUUCCCAGCAUCUCGAGAGGCCUUUUUGGUGGCCAGCUAAUACAUACACAUACACUGGGGGGAUGGCUGCAGUCUGCUUCAGAUCAGGCCUAUAUACUGCCAGCCAUCAUGAGCCAUACCUCCUGUAUGUCUGACCAGUACAGCGAGUACUUCCAGUGUAAACCCCUGUCCCACUCAGCCUGGCUUUGCGCAUGUGAUGAGCCACGAGCAAUUCAAUACGGUUGCGAGGAAUUUAAAUGUAGGACUAGAACUAUCUAGAACAGAAGCCGCUAGUGUUCUUGAUGUGAAUGUAAAUGUAUCUGCCCUGUUACCACAUAGCUGGUCUUGNGCUUUCUUCUCUGCCUAUCUCAGCAGACUGCUAAUGGUACUGCGGAGACAGGAUGAGUCACUGGGAUCUAUGCAGUGUGGCCCCGGGCACCGAUGCUUCCUAGCAGGGCUAGGUAAUGCGCUGGUGUGAAGUUGGUUGGAGGUUGNNNNNNNNNNNNNNNNNNNNNNNNNNNNNNNNNNNNNNNNNNNNNNNNNNCUCCAAAGCACUGCACAGGCACGCGCCAGAUCGGGCCUUGAGGAGACCAUUUUUCCGUGUGCACGUGCCGACAUGGAUUUGUCCAGACGUUUGUCUGAAUUCGCUCAAUUGUAUAAAAUAACUACGACUAGGUCUCUGGCCAAAGCUACUACGUUGUCAAAAAAGGUUCUUGUUGGAGUAGGUUAGGUCCCCCUUCGGUAAUGUCGUUUUACUAGUAGCUCUUUCCCCGAAGGGGGGAUGCCGUAGUUCCUAAUGUAGUAGGCAUAUGGACAGAGCCUAGUUGUAGUUUAACUACAUUACUAGUUACCCUUCGGGAUUAGCGGAGCCAACAUUAACGAGGGCUUUGCCCCACCGAACUACGUUGUGUCAACCUGCGGCCGAAAGGACAAACUCAGCAGCUUCAGUCGCUAUUUUAGUCCACAAGACUGGUGUCUUUGUUGUGAACUAAGCCGUGGCGUUGGGCGGAAAGCAGAUGUACACAACAGAGGACGGAGAGGGGCUUUAGCUCAGUGGUAGAGCGCGCGCUUUGCAUGCGUGAGGCCACCAGUUCAAACCCGGUAAGCUCCAAGAAACAAAUGCAGAUCGAAGACAUUAUAACAUGUUACUAUACUAUGAGGGUUGUUUAAAUAAAAGGAGUUAAAUGAGCCUGUGGUCGUAUGAUUCCAUCUCUUAAAACCUCGACUCGAUUGUAUUGCGCGGUUAGCAGGUACGGGGAAUGCACCCCACGAUCAUGUAACACGCACAGAUGCAACACACACACUAUACAUAUAGAAUACUCUUGCUGAACAUUCAGCCGCCACGUGUGCCUUAGGGCUGAGGGGCGGCGUAGCCACUCCUGUAUGCCCGCACCACCGUGGCCUAAUCCCUAAUCCUCGCCCUGGGCCCCACAUCCCAUCCUGACGUCGUCAACCCUAUUCCCCAUCCCGCCUGACCAGUACCUGCCCCCAAUCCCCCAUCUCUGCAACCCUCUGGAAUACUCUUGCUGAACAUUCAGCCGCCACGUGUCAGGACGGGAACAAGAAGAGAAGCAAAGUAGAUGAUCUUGUCUUGCACAGAAAAAUAGAUGUGUAUAUGAUCUAUUUAUUGUAUUAUAUAUGUAUAUAUGUGAUAUGAUAAACAGUUAAAACACACACACACACACAUAUAUAUAUGUAUAUUAUUUAUAUUGGUAUGGGUGUGCACUCGGUGCUUCAUCAUAUCACUCGAUGGUGUAUGGGUGAUAGGCGACAUGCCAGUCCUCUUUCAAAGGACUCAUCGAAGUGGAGCAUUUAUAUUUUAUCCUCGGGUCCCGAUGAUCAUACCACAUCCAUCUGCAUCAUGACAUCAUGCGCCGUGACUACUGGCUGACACAGCAUGCAGGGAUAUGUUCACUUCAGUUCAUUAGGUAAAGCGCAAUCCUACCUGGGUAUCCACUUCGAUGUUCCCUUCUGAGUGCACGAAUUAUCUUCAUAUCAUAGUGUCAUAGUGUGGAUGUGUUACUUCACUUCACAAAUCUGAUGGACAUACAUACCCACGCACGAAGUAGUGUCCAUUCUGGCGGCCAGUUGACAUUUCGCAACGCCAUACACACACAUACAUACACACCGAGCGGAUGCAGGCGAUUGAGAAGAUUGAAUACUGUAGCAACUGCCGUACAGUAUAACAUAUGUACAUCAGCGAAGUGCAUGCAUGCACUUUU